UACAUUUCAACAGGGGUUUGAAUCCACACCAUUCCCACCACCAGAGUUCUGAAUCUUCAGUCUCCCCACUUCAAUCCAUCACAGUUCCCCUAAGGCUCUCUGUUCCUGACAACUCAGCUGCAGAACUUUUUCUGUGCACUUUCCUUCCCCUUGAAUCUCUGCCAUGCCACCUCUCCUGAGAGACUGAACACAUGUAGCCAAACUCUGCAAAUGAUAUUGCAUCUGCUGAUCCCAACCUAUUCAAUGCAAUGAGCACCACCUUGACAUGCUUCACUUCGGUCUGUGUCCAGAAACAUCAGGUGUGGAAUGUCAACCCUUCAGCAU
This is a long non-coding RNA of Erinaceus europaeus (western European hedgehog), 324 nucleotides long. RefSeq lists it as uncharacterized. The record is from RefSeq and is a predicted model, not a curated record. NCBI's taxonomy places the organism in Eukaryota, Metazoa, Chordata, Mammalia, Eulipotyphla, Erinaceidae. The transcript has 3 exons.